CAGCAGCCGCGGUAAUACGUAGGUGGCAAGCGUUGUCCGGAAUUAUUGGGCGUAAAGGGCUCGCAGGCGGUUUCUUAAGUCUGAUGUGAAAGCCCCCGGCUCAACCGGGGAGGGUCAUUGGAAGCUGGGAAACUUGAGUGCAGAAGAGGAGAGUGGAAUUCCACGUGUAGCGGUGAAAUGCGUAGAGAUGUGGAGGAACACCAGUGGCGAAGGCGACUCUCUGGUCUGUAACUGACGCUGAGGAGCGAAAGCGUGGGGAGCGAACAGGAUUAGAUACCCCAGUAGUCCCUGUCUCUUAUAC
This 301-nucleotide ribosomal RNA is filed under the name uncultured bacterium. RNAcentral's name for it is "partial 16S ribosomal RNA". It matches the Rfam family "Bacterial small subunit ribosomal RNA", at positions 509 to 807 of the family's 1533-position model. The record is from RNAcentral.